This is a long non-coding RNA of Passer domesticus (house sparrow), 2733 nucleotides long. RefSeq lists it as uncharacterized. The transcript has 4 exons. The record is from RefSeq and is a predicted model, not a curated record. Lineage: Eukaryota; Metazoa; Chordata; Aves; Passeriformes; Passeridae.
GAUCAUUCCCACAGCAUGUCACAGCUGGGAGUUUGGGCAGGGCAAUGGAAAGAGACUUUUGUCCAAACAGGAGAUUACUGAGGAGGGUUUCUGGGCUAAACCUCUGUUGUCACUGAUCAGGGCUGGGCUUGGAAGACAGGAGGUUUUUAAGAAAAAAAACAAACAUGUCUUUGAGAACAGGACUUUGGGGAUUAAGCAGUUAAUACCUCUCCAUAACCACUAUGUGCUCUGGUUUGCUGACAGCUACCACUGCCUCCUGAUGGCUGAGAAAUGGAAAGAGCUUAAAUUUCACCCUGUCUUGUAAAUUUGUGGUAGAAACUGCCUUUGUGUGACUCUCCAUACUGCAGGACCAUACUUGGGGCUCUGCUUGGUGGCAGGAAAACAGAGUUAGUGUUGUAAUGCAAAGCUGUGGUACACAAUCAGCUACUGGAAACCCCAGUACUGAUCUGAAUCUGGGCUUUCAAAUGCCACUGUGUGACUUUCUGGAGCUGCUGUCUGUCAGGCACUUAAGGAUUUAUUUGCAAUCACUUACUGGAAAUUGCACUUUGUUAAUUGUACGGGAAAAACCAAGGAGUGCAGCAAGAUUGAUUGAAAUGGUCAGGAGCCUUUCUUACCUCAGUGAUGGGCUGCACUGGGAGAAAUGCUGAGUUAUUUCUGUCUGGAGAGAGUGGCUGAAGCUUUCCUCAUUUCCCCAGUUUGCCUUGGCACCCUGCUCAUGGUUCAGCUGGACAGACUGACACUGGAGUGCCUGCCUGGGGUGAAGGAGCCUCACUGUGCAGAGUUUGAGGCUACAGAUUAUGCUCCUUGCUCGAGUUUCAUAACUUCUGCAAUGUGUUUGUGCUCACCAGGUAGUUGGAAAUGUCUUCCCUGGCUUUGGUCUGGAGAGGCAUUCAAAAUCCUGCUGCUUCUUGCUGAGUAUUCCAUGAAAGGAGAUGCCUGGCAGGGAAAUGCCUUCAGGUGGGAGACAAGUGGCUGAGUCAGGACACCCAGGGUGCCUUUGGCUUGUGCUGGAGACUGAGAGGGAGGAUAUAUUGUUUAAGGCAAGGAAUUGGGAGAUUAAGGAUCUGCUCUGCAGAGUCUCAUUAGCUUGUGAAGCUUCAGGCUAUUCCUUACCUGUUCUGUGCAGCCAGGCUUUAAACAAAAUGGAAUGAGCAAUUCACCAAAUGGAAUGAACAAUUCCUUGUGUGGCUGAGUCCAUAAGCAGGAGGAGAUGUGGAGCAGGAGGUGAUGGUGUGCUCAGAAAGGACUCCUGAAAGGAGAUGGAAUUUAUGCUGAAACACCUGGCAGCAAGCUGCCCUGCAAGCAGGGGACAGCAUGAGGACGGAGUCCAGCUGGAAUUGAUCUGCAGGGUGUGUGAGCAAUGAUCCCACCAGCCCGGCAGGAUUUGGGGUGGGAAGAGGCAAGGUUAAACCCUCUGGCUACACCUCCACAUCCAGAGAUGGAAAAGCUGCUGGUGGAUCUGCCUAGAGGUGUAGAGAGAAAUGGAGCACCAGGCUUAGAACACCUGGUAAUAAAGUGGAAUGAUUCUGUUGCAGAAGUGGAAUAAGUCUGCUCAGGUUGGAUGUGAACAAGCUAUUUAGCUCCUGCAGACCAUUAAGUAUCCUUAAAAUGUAAGUUUCCCAAUUUACAGAGAUGUUGAGGUGCUCUGGAAGUGGUUUCUGCCUUCUGAAGUGCCUCAGUUUAAAGUGAGCAGACCCUUGAAUGGCUUCUCCCUGUCUCAUACAAGGAAUUUCUUUUCCAUCUUGAAUGGGCUGUGUUUCCUGAAAGAAGAGCUUGUGAGAGUAAUGAACUCUGGAAACUGCUUAUCUGCCUUUUGAAAUAAAAAUGCUUUUGGCCUGGAAGCCAAAUGAUAUCUUGCACUUAGCAAAAAUAACUAAAACAUUCUCCAUCUCACAUGUCAUCUGCUCACAAAACUGCUCUUGGUCCACCUACAAAGCUGGAAUUGUUUACUGUGUGACUGACAGGGUUUAGUUGGUAUCAGUUUCUGGAGGGCAAUAUAGUGAAUUAAAUCUUGCAAAGUGAGCUCAGGAGUCUUUGCUUUGGAUGAGCCCAUUUUCCCCUCAUCCUGUCCAAGUGAAACAGUGCUGUUAUUUCCCUAGGAUGUAGCCUAAUAGGAUAAGGGAUCCUGUUACCCAGUGCUGGCAGUCUGUCACUGCCUUCAUCCUCCAGUGUGCUUGGAAAAGUGGAUAAUUUUGCCUGCCAGCCUGGGAACAAUUUGUCUAUCACAGUGCCAGAGAGGGAAGACCUCCAGAACCCUGUCCCACCUCGCUGUCAGUGACGUGCUGGACAGUCACCCCUCCAUGGUGACAGAGCCACUGUGACCCCCACAGGGUCACGAGCCACUGCACAGCUGCUGGAAAGAGCACUGCUGGCUUUUUCCUCAGUCAAAACCUCUUGGGUUUGCUUUUUGCCACUUGAGUUCUCCCUAGGCAGAAGUGAGAGUCUCCAGCUCGAUCUGCAUGUUGUGAGCAGCCAGGGCAGGGUCCCCUCUGGAGGCUGCAGCAAUGGGGCUGGGCUGGCCCCAGCAGCACAAGGCAGCCCUGCAGCUGUGCAUUGCUCUGCCAGCUGGAGGCUAAAGCUCCUCCAAGCCUCACUGCUCUGCCUAAUUCAUCCCUUUGGACUCUGCAUCGCUCGCACUGCUUACGGCAGCAGCCCCCUGCUCUGCAGCCCUGCUCAGCACAUCGGGGGGAAAGUGCCAUUUCUUGUUUAGAAAACACCAGCUGCACUAAAAAU